CCUACGGGUGGCAGCAGUAAGGAAUAUUGGACAAUGGGCGCAAGCCUGAUCCAGCCAUGCCGCGUGCAGGAUGACGGCCCUAUGGGUUGUAAACUGCUUUUAUACGGGAAAAAACCCCUCUACGUGUAGAGGGCUGAUGGUACCGUAAGAAUAAGGAUCGGCUAACUCCGUGCCAGCAGCCGCGGUAAUACGGAGGAUCCGAGCGUUAUCGGGAUAUAGUGGGCGUAAGGGGUGUUGUGGCGGAUUGGUGAAAUCCUGCAGCUUAACUGUAGAACUGCCAUUGAUACUGCAAGUCUUGAGUACAUAUGAUGUGGGCGGAAUGUGUAGUGUAGCGGUGAAAUGCUUAGAUAUUACACAGAACACCAAUUGCGAAGGCAGCUCACAAAACUGUAACUGACGCUGAGGCACGAAAGCGUGGGGAGUGAACAGGAUUAGAUACCCGUGUAGUC
RNAcentral lists this ribosomal RNA (449 nucleotides) under uncultured bacterium. Its description in RNAcentral is "partial 16S ribosomal RNA". It matches the Rfam family "Bacterial small subunit ribosomal RNA", at positions 338 to 795 of the family's 1533-position model. The record is from RNAcentral.